RNAcentral lists this ribosomal RNA (310 nucleotides) under uncultured eukaryote. RNAcentral describes it as "partial 18S ribosomal RNA". It matches the Rfam family "Eukaryotic small subunit ribosomal RNA", at positions 1470 to 1796 of the family's 1831-position model. The record is from RNAcentral.
CCCCUAGAUGUCCUGGGCCGCACGCGCGCUACACUGACCCACUCAGCAAGUCAACUUCCUGGCCUGGAAAGGUUCGGGUAAUCUUCGCAAUAUGGGUCGUGUUAGGGAUCGAUCUUUGCAAUUAUAGAUCUUGAACGAGGAAUACCUAGUAAGUGCAAGUCAUCAGCUUGUACUGAUUACGUCCCUGCCCUUUGUACACACCGCCCGUCGCUCCUACCGAUUUCGAAUGGUCCGGUGAACCUUCUGGAGUACUCGCAAGAGUGCAAAGUUAAGUAAACCUUAUCAUUUAGAGGAAGGAGAAGUCGUAACA